Molecule: long non-coding RNA, 6622 nt
Organism: Brassica rapa (field mustard)
Lineage: Eukaryota; Viridiplantae; Streptophyta; Magnoliopsida; Brassicales; Brassicaceae
Source: RefSeq, a predicted model, not a curated record
UAGCCACAUUAGGCAAUUCCGUAAUCUUAUUUAAGGAAAUAAUGAAGCACAUUAAUAAUGUAUUUAUUGUGGUUUAAUAAAAAGCUUAUUAUAUAUUUAGAUGGACCAACCUAUUUCUCUAAGGAUUCUAAGACUCAUUCUAGUGAUGACACGUGACUACAAAAAAUGUUACAAUGCUUCUCAAAUAAUAUAUAGGGGAUACUGUAAUUAGCAUUUGUAUCAGGACAGAAUAUUAUAAGGAACAUGGAGGAUGGUUUCACAAUUAGGAAACCCUCCAGGAUCCACUCACGUGCUUGUGCAAGGAGUUUAAACGAGGCAAAGAGAAAAGGUUGUCACUCUGGAUAUGGUAAAAAGUCUCACGAGAUUUCCUACCUGAAAGAUCUUUUUGUCGUGUAUUGUCUUUUGAAAACCACUUCAACGUUUCUUGGUCUUUAGGCAAGAGACGGACCAAGGUCUUGUUGUGGAUAAAGAGAAUGAGGGUGUCGAGGCGUUUUCUUAGCAAGUUCCGUGAGACAAACAAGAUCGACAAGCACAUCUAGCGCGAUAUGUAUACAUAAAAGCCAAGUGUAUAAAAAGAGAAGAUUGUAUAAAAAGAGUAACAGUAACUAUUUUAGGUCACAGAAUUCAAUCAUGUGUAUCAUAACUCAAAAAUACAAAUAUAACAAAUUAAAAAACAACAGUUCUGUGUGGUUGGAGAAGAAAUAACGAUCAAUACAAUUUCAACUAGAAUUUGAUUUGCGCACGGCGCACCGCAAUGUUUUACAUUAUUUAUAAAUCAAAGUUAAGAUUGAUUAUCCUUUUUUUGUCCUUGCAUGGUUUGGUUGUUCAUAUGUUAUAUAAGUCAUUUGUUAUUUGAUAUAAGUCAUUUGUUAUUUGAUAAUCUUUUACAAAAUGGACAAUUUUUCUAUCGUAUCCCUUAUAUACUAAAGCACAAGUCACUUGGCUAAUUAGAUUUUGACACAUGGAUCCUAUUUUAUUAAAGAUUACAAAUUAUGUAUAAAAUAAUUAAAGCAAAAAUAAAAAAAUAAAAAAGGUGAAGAGAACGCACGAUCUUUAACAAUUGAAUCCAAUCCAGUAAUCUCUUCCAACGGUUCUUCUUGCCCACACUCCACGAUCACCAUUCAUAUCAGUGUCUUAUAACUACCUUCAUUCCAUCAUUUAUACUUCUCCAAUGUCUUUCUAUGCUCUCUCUUACUCAAAUCCACCCAACAUUUCUUCUCUGAGAUAAAUUAGUAUUUGGUAUAUCAUCUCAUAUUGUUUUUUCUUGCCCAGUUUUUCGGGAUCUCACUUUUCUCUCUACUUUUUCCAUGACAGCAUUUGUACAGGGAGCUUUGCUAAGAUGCAAAGUUUAUCUUAGAAGAACUCAGGUUUGAAUCUUUUUUCUUCCCAAAUAUGUAAAUCUGAGACAGAGGAAAUGCAAUAAAACGUUUUUAUGAAAGUGUAUACCUCUGCUUCCAAUAAAAACAAGAGAGAAUAAGAACAAAGUAUUGUUGGGUCAGUCUACAAUCCAGCAAAAGAAAAGCCAAAACAAAUGAAGGAGUUUUCUCUGCAACAAACGGAAUACAAGAACAGAACCACCAAUAAUCUGAAAACAAGUGCUUUCAGAAGAUGGAAAUGCAACAAAAACCUAACACUACAGGGGAAAACAGUAUCAACAACUUCGAUGAUGCAACAAGGUAUUUACAAAUUUUAAGUUCAAAAAAAAAAGAAAACAAGGUAUUUACAAAAAUGUGUGUUAUGGUCUGAGUGCUUCACAAAUCUUUUUUAAAAAUUAUAAUACAGCAAAUCGAAUAUAUUAUAUACAAAUUGAAUAUUCUAAAUAUAUGGAUUCUAUUAUGUUUAGUUUCGUUGUUUUUAUUAUUCAUUAUAUCAAAUCUAAGGAGGUCUAUUUUAAAGAAGAAUUAUUUACAAAAGAAAUAAGAGUUCAAAAAAUAAACGAAUAGAUCAAACGUAAUAUUUUAACUACAUUUCUUGAUGUAUGUACCUUAAUUUUCAAACUCUUUGUUUGAUUAAUGCAGCCACUGCUAAAUGGAGUACUGAGGUAAUCUUUAUAUAUAUAAUAUAAUAAGUAUAUAGGACUCCCAUUAUAUAAUCACUCUCUUACUCUUUUCCAUUAUACAAAUCUAUUUUUUCUUCUUCUUUUUUUGACAAAUGUUUUUUUCUUCUUCCCAAUAGCUUAUCCUUAGGAAACAAAUGAACAAAAUAUUUGGCUGAGUGCGUAUAUUUAAGACAUCAGACCUUAAUACGGGUUGGGAACGUAAAUAUUUUUAACACUUUUCUUUCGGUUAACCAUGGAAUCUUCCAAUGUUUUUUUUUGAGUUUUUUCAGCAAGAAGUGUAUUGGUUUAUAACAGUCAAAUGAUAGGCUAGGUCAUCUUACCACCGAGGAACCUGAAAUUGGCAUAUUGGCGCUGACUAAAAGAUCAAAUGCUAUUUAUUCCAUUCCUUUUAUUUGAACUGAUGAGUUGAUUAUAAAUGUAUUUGAAACCAGUUAUUUGUUCUCUUAUUUGAUCAAUAUAAUACCAAAAAGUAAUACUUAACUAAAAUUGUUUAUUACAUUUUACUCAAAACAUAUUAAAUUAUACGUAAUUAUUGAUUUGUUUUUCUAAUAAAUAAUAUUUGAUUUUGUUUUGUAAUAUGCCUAAAAGAAUUAGUUAACCCGCGCUAUUGCGCGGGCAAAUAUCUAGUUUGUUUAUAAAGCAUAGUCUAUUUUUACAGAUCAAUACAUCUAUCUUUCAAAAAUAUACAUGUUUCACAUAGCAAAUAAUAUGCUAUAAUUUUUACUUAUACUAGUUAAUUUUUCCGUGCACAUGCACAUGGUACAAAAUAUUUAGUAUUUACAAAAUACAAAUAAAAUUAUUAAUAUUAUAAUUAUAAUUUUAAUUAUUUUCUCAUUUAUAUGUAUGAUUUAUUUUAAAUAAUAUUAUAUUAUUUUAAUUAAACAUAACAUGUAAUUAGAUAUAUAAUGAUUCAGUUAUUACUUGGAUAUAUUGAAUUGUAUUUACUUCUCCAAGUUUAACCAUUUUUUAUGCUAAAUAUAUUAAAAUUUUAAUUAUUUUGUUUUUGCCUUUAGAAUUUUGAUUUAGGGCUUAAAAUAUUAGAUUGCUUUAAAUAUUUUUUGGGUUAUAUUGAACUACACAUAUUUCAUCAAAUGGAAGCACAAUUAGUUUUGAUUAUAAUUAAACUAAAUUUGAUUAAUUUUAUUUAUUGCAUUAGUUAAGUUCUUCAUCUUAAAUAUGUAUAUAUAUAUAUUUGUAAACUCUUUUGUAUAAUUUGAUAUUUUUGGAUUUGUAAAAAUAGUAUCAAAAUUGAAAUGAUAAUAAGUAUGAAAUUUUAUUAACAAUUUUUACCAUUAAAGUUUUGAAAAUUCAUGACCAUAUAACAAUAUUUACAAAAAUAAUAUGUUUUUUGUAAAUUCUAAGUAACUUUAUACUUUAGAUGUAUGUAAUCUAAAUUAAAUAAUAUUCUAAAUAAUUUUAAAAUUAAAAAUCCAUAUUGGUUUAUGUAUUCUUAUUAUAUGUAUAUUGAGUUGUAUAAAUAUAUAAAAUUUUAAAAAUAAACAUAAUAAUAUUAAGCUUUAAAGAAUUUUUUUAGUUAGGUUUGAUUAAAGUUUGUAGAUUUUUUAUUUAUGUAGUUUGAUAAAAUCAUACAUAAAAUGUAAAUGAAAACUAAAAAAAACUUAUGAAAAAUGAAUAAACAUCUGAAUAGUAUCAAUUAUGAAAUAUGUUUAAUUCAUCAAUGAUAUUAUAGUACAUGUUAUUAAAUUACUUUUGUAAGAAUCUAAGAAAAUAGUCUGAUAUAAAUAAAAUAUUUUAUUAAUUUUUUGUAACUGAAAAUAUUUUUAUUAAAUUUAAAGUAUAUAUUUUUCUGUGUAUUAAAUUUAAAGUAUAUUAAAUUUAAAGUAUUAAUUUUAUGUUUUAAAGAGAUGAUUAUUUUUUAAACAUCAAAACUGUUUUUCGUAUACUUUUCUUUUGUAAAUCACAUUAUAUAUAAAUUAUAUUUUCCUAAAAUAUGUUUAUUUCCUUAUUUGUAAAUAUAGUUUUUAUUAUAUGAAAUAUUUACUUUUAUCAUAAAUGGUAUUUGUAAAUAUAUAAAAAAGAAAAUACAUUAAAAUUUUAAUUGGAAAAAAUUAGAAAAUAGUUUUUAUAAUGAUAAUUAUAUAUAAUAUUUAAAUUCAUUAAAGAUACCUUUGUAAUUAACCAUUGUGAGAAUUAACAUGAACGCGACACUUAGGAAACUAACUUCUCAAUAAUAUUAUAGAGUUAUCUAUAUGGAUCACAAUCUUAUUUAUAUGCCAAAUAAUUUCAACCCCUGUAACACUUAAAAACAUAAUUAAUUUAAAAUAUUAAGAAUGAAAUAUUAAAGUUGAGAAUUGUUUUUCAUAAACUGUAGAAUUUGAUUUGUAUAUAAUACUUUAUAAAUUUUAUAAAUUAUAAAAUAAAUUACUAACUUUAAUUUUGGAUUUUUAUAAUUUAAUAUAUUUUAUAAUUAUUAGAUUUAUAUGAAAUUAGCUAACAUAUAAAGUUUUCAAAAUAAAUUCAACUUUAACUUAAUAUGUAUAUAUUCCCCUUUAAGCAUUAUUUUGUUUCCAUUAAUCCAAUACUUAUUUUUGUAAAAGAAAAUGAAUAUAUUUGUACAUCUAGUGUUAGUAAUUUUAAUUACAAAAGAAAAGAUGAAAGCUCAAAAAAAAAACAAAAACAAAAACUUAGCAAAGUGAGGUAUAAGCCAUAUAAAAACAAAAACCAAUGUGAGUGUAUAAAAGUUGAAUCGAACCAAACCAACCGAAAAUUUAAGGUCCAAAUCCAAACCACUAAACUCAACAAUCACUUUUAGCCCAUGCUUCUCUCUCAACGUCGUCCUCUAGCUUCUUCUAGCAUUUUUGCAUGUUCUGUUGUUCUUCUCGCUUCAUCCUCCGCCCAAUACCUGAGAGAAAGAAGAAUCAAAAUCGUAAAUGACCUCUAGAGCAGAUCCAUCUACAUUUAAUUUCCAUGCUGGUCUGAAUCAAGACGAAACGGCUGCCAUCGAGGAGUACGGCUUCUCAGUUGGAGCUCUUCCUAUCAGGUAUCUCGGGCUACCUCUAACGAGCAGGAAACUGAAAGUCUCAGAAUACUCGCCUCUGCUUGAUAAGAUAACAUCGAGGUUUCAUUCUUGGACAACAAAAUCUAUAUCUUAUGCGGUGCGUCAUCUCUUAAUAUCGACGGUGAUUAAUGGAACAGUAAACUUGGGCUUGCGUAGCUAUGUUGUUUGGAACAAGACUCUCCUGCUGCGGUUGAUUUGCUUACUCUGCUCAACCAGCGGCUCUCUAUAGGUGGCUUGGCAUAGAUUCCAUCAUUGCACAUACAGUUAUUCAUUCUGGAGCCAAGCAGAAACACAAUCGCAGUCAUGAUAUGCAAAAUUGGAAACAGUGAAACUGCAAGCUUCUGGUUCGAUGUGUGGACUCCUAAGGAGCCGCUAAUUAAAGCUAUUGGCUCUGAUGGUCCUCGCAGACUCCGUAUCUCGAUAACUGCUUCUGUCAAAGAUGCAUGCAACAACAACAUAUGGAACUUGCCAUCCCCAAGAUCAGAUCAGGAAAUAACCCUCCAUGCUUUCUUGACAACAAUUGAUACACCAACAGAGGGAAUGGUAACGGAUGAAUAUUUUUGGUCAACAGAAGCAACCAGCGCUGGCUCUUUUUCUUCAUCUAAAACAUGGGAAAUUCUCAGACUGUGAAGUGACUCUAAAGCUUGGGCCUCGACUGUCGGUUUAAGGGGCAGUACCUAAACACGCCUUCAACAUGUGGAUCGCAACCCUUGACUGAUUGCCAACGAGAAAACUAUUAGCGUACUGGGGGAUGAACAUCCAGUCACAUUGCUGCCUAUGUUCCGCUGAGCCUGAGACCAGAGAUCAUCUUCUGCUCUCUUGUCAAUUUGAAGUAGAGAUAUGGAACAAAGUAUUCUUCCGGAUAGGAAGGCCCACGUCUCAUUUUGGAUCGUGGCCAGACUUACUCCGCUGGAUCCAGGAGCCUCACACGAAAUGAAUCAAGCUACUAAGGCUGCUCUCCUCUCAGGCGGCAGUCUACAGCAUAUGGAGACAGAGAAAUAACGUGUUUCAUUACCAAACAACAGUUCUUCCUCUGGUCAUCUUCAGGGAAAUCGACAGAACCGUAAGAAACAUCAUCCAUGCCAGGAAGUGUAGACGACGGUUCCGCAAACUUAUGGAAUGUUGGCUAAUCUAAUUUCGGGGUUAGCCUCCAACAAGCUGCUUAACUUUAUUGAUUUCUUGUUUCUACUUUAUUUGCCAAGAAAUCUUUUGUAUAGGAUGCAACAAUGCAACCUUAACCACUUCAUUUAUGAUAUUAACAUUCAUAGCAAAAAAAAAAAAGAAAAAAAAAACUAAUCAAAAUGGCCUAUAUUGUCAAAAGUCAUGCAAUCCUCAUAAUUCUUUGAUUUUGCUUGACAAAGAAAGAAGAAAAAACAACUAGUUUUCUUUGGUCAAAAAAGAAAGAAAAAACUUUAAGAUGAUAUUUUCUAUACCUAGUAAUGGAUAAAGAGUUUCUUUCAACUUCAAUGGUAAUAAACAAGUUUUAUAACCCUAACUAUUAUCUAACCCUAACAUAUAGAGAUAUGUCAAAAAAAAAAACCUAA